GUGCCAGCAGCCGCGGUAAUACGAAGGGACCUAGCGUAGUUCGGAAUUACUGGGCUUAAAGAGCUCGUAGGUGGUUAGAAAAGUUGGUGGUGAAAUCCCAAGGCUUAACCUUGGAACUGCCAUCAAAACUUUUUGACUAGAGUAUGAUAGAGGAAAGUGGAAUUUCUAGUGUAGAGGUGAAAUUCGUAGAUAUUAGAAAGAACACCAAUUGCGAAGGCAACUUUCUGGAUCAUUACUGACACUGAGGAGCGAAAGCAUGGGUAGCGAAGAGGAUUAGAUACCCUCGUAGUCCAUGCCGUAAACGAUGUGUGCUAGACGUUGGAAAUUUAGUUUUCAGUGUCGCAGCGAAAGCGUUAAGCACACCGCCUGGGGAGUACGACCGCAAGGUUAAAACUCAAAUGAAUUGACGGGGACCCGCACAAGUAGUGGAGCAUGUGGUUUAAUUCGAAGAUACGCGCAGAACC
Molecule: ribosomal RNA, 464 nt
Filed under: uncultured Alphaproteobacteria bacterium
Lineage: Bacteria; Pseudomonadati; Pseudomonadota; Alphaproteobacteria
Description: bacterial SSU rRNA
Rfam family: Bacterial small subunit ribosomal RNA
Source: RNAcentral